This 321-nucleotide ribosomal RNA is filed under the name uncultured Oscillospiraceae bacterium. RNAcentral's name for it is "partial 16S ribosomal RNA". The record is from RNAcentral. Lineage: Bacteria; Bacillati; Bacillota; Clostridia; Eubacteriales; Oscillospiraceae.
GGAGUCUGGGCCGUAUCUCAGUCCCAAUGUGGCCGUAGAGCCUCUCAGCUCGGCUACUGAUCGUCGCCUUGGUAGGCCGUUGCCCCACCAACUAGCUAAUCAGACGCAAGCCCAUCUAUCAGCGGAUUGCUCCUUUUCUAACUAUAUCAUGCGAUACUGUUAGCUUAUGCGGUAUUAGCAAUGAUUUCUCAUUGUUAUUCCCCUCUGAUAGGCAGGUUGCUUACGUGUUACUCACCAGUCCGCCACUAACCGCUCUCAAUCUAAAAGAAUGAGUUAAGUUCGUUCGACUUGCAUGUCUUAUGUGCGCCGCCAGCGUUUAUC